RNAcentral lists this ribosomal RNA (497 nucleotides) under uncultured bacterium. RNAcentral describes it as "partial 16S ribosomal RNA". It matches the Rfam family "Bacterial small subunit ribosomal RNA", at positions 29 to 523 of the family's 1533-position model. The record is from RNAcentral.
AUUGAACGCUGGCGGUAUGCCUUACACAUGCAAGUCGGACGGUAGAGGGGCAACCCUAGAGAGUGGCGAACGGGUGAGUAAUACAUCGGAACGUGCCCAGUCGUGGGGGAUAACGUAGCGAAAGCUACGCUAAUACCGCAUACGACCCGAGGGUGAAAGCGGGGGACUCGCAAGGGCCUCGCGCGAUUGGCGCGGCCGAGGGCAGAUUAGGUAGUUGGUGGGGUAAAGGCCCACCAAGCCUGCGAUCUGUAGCUGGUCUGAGAGGACGACCAGCCACACUGGGACUGAGACACGGCCCAGACUCCUACGGGAGGCAGCAGUGGGGAAUUUUGGACAAUGGGCGAAAGCCUGAUCCAGCCAUACCGCGCGCGGGAAGAAGGCCUUCGGGUUGUAAACCGCUUUUGUCAGGGAAGAAAUCUUCUGGGUUAAUACCUCGGGAGGAUUGAUGUUACCCACAGAAGAAGCACCGGCUAACUCCGUGCCAGCAGCCGCAGUAA